This 83-nucleotide transfer RNA is filed under the name Alteracholeplasma palmae J233. RNAcentral describes it as "Acholeplasma palmae J233 tRNA". It matches the Rfam family "tRNA". Rfam says of the family: Transfer RNA (tRNA) molecules are approximately 80 nucleotides in length. Their secondary structure includes four short double-helical elements and three loops (D, anti-codon, and T loops). Lineage: Bacteria; Bacillati; Mycoplasmatota; Mollicutes; Acholeplasmatales; Acholeplasmataceae. The record is from Rfam by way of RNAcentral.
GCGGUCGUGGUGGAAUGGUAGACACGCUACUUUGAGGGGGUAGUGGGAGUAAUCCCGUGUGAGUUCAAAUCUCAUCGUCCGCA